RNAcentral lists this ribosomal RNA (507 nucleotides) under uncultured bacterium. RNAcentral describes it as "bacterial SSU rRNA". It matches the Rfam family "Bacterial small subunit ribosomal RNA", at positions 975 to 1482 of the family's 1533-position model. The record is from RNAcentral.
CAAGGCUUGACAUACACCGGAAACGGCCAGAGAUGGUCGCCCCGCAAGGUCGGUGUACAGGUGGUGCAUGGUUGUCGUCAGCUCGUGUCGUGAGAUGUUGGGUUAAGUCCCGCAACGAGCGCAACCCUCGUCCCAUGUUGCCAGCGGGUUAUGCCGGGGACUCAUGGGAGACUGCCGGGGUCAACUCGGAGGAAGGUGGGGAUGACGUCAAAUCAUCAUGCCCCUUAUGUCUUGGGCUUCACGCAUGCUACAAUGGCCGGUACAAAGGGCUGCGAUACCGUAAGGUGGAGCGAAUCCCAAAAAGCCGGUCUCAGUUCGGAUUGGGGUCUGCAACUCGACCCCAUGAAGUCGGAGUCGCUAGUAAUCGCAGAUCAGCAACGCUGCGGUGAAUACGUUCCCGGGCCUUGUACACACCGCCCGUCAAGUCACGAAAGUCGGUAACACCCGAAGCCCAUGGCCCAACCCUUGUGGGGGGAGUGGUCGAAGGUGGGACUGGCGAUUGGGACU